This 107-nucleotide small nuclear RNA is filed under the name Sorex araneus (European shrew). Lineage: Eukaryota; Metazoa; Chordata; Mammalia; Eulipotyphla; Soricidae. The record is from RNAcentral.
GUGCUCGCUUCAGCACUACAUAUACUAAAAUUGGAACAAUACAGAGAAGAUGAGCAUGGCCCCGGCGCAAGGAUGACACGCAAAUUCGUGAAGCGUUCUGUAUUUUU